UACAACUUACACGUAUUACGAUCUCCUGGCC
Molecule: non-coding RNA, 31 nt
Filed under: Rattus norvegicus (Norway rat)
Lineage: Eukaryota; Metazoa; Chordata; Mammalia; Rodentia; Muridae
Source: RNAcentral